Molecule: ribosomal RNA, 460 nt
Filed under: uncultured bacterium
Lineage: Bacteria
Description: partial 16S ribosomal RNA
Rfam family: Bacterial small subunit ribosomal RNA
Source: RNAcentral
CCUACGGGGGACAGCAGUGAGGAAUAUUGGUCAAUGGACGAGAGUCUGAACCAGCCAAGUAGCGUGAAGGAUGACUGCCCUAUGGGUUGUAAACUUCUUUUAUAUGGGAAUAAAAUGUUCCACGUGUGGGAUUUUGUAUGUACCAUAUUAAUAAGGAUCGGCUAACUCCGUGCCAGCAGCCGCGGUAAUACGGAGGAUCCGAGCGUUAUCCGGAUUUAUUGGGUUUAAAGGGAGCGUAGGUGGAUUGUUAAGUCAGUUGUGAAAGUUUGCGGCUCAACCGUAAAAUUGCAGUUGAAACUGGCAGUCUUGAGUACAGUAGAGGUGGGCGGAAUUCGUGGUGUAGCGGUGAAAUGCUUAGAUAUCACGAAGAACUCCGAUUGCGAAGGCAGUUCACUGGACUGCAACUGACACUGAGGCUCGAAAGUGUGGGUAUCAAACAGGAUUAGAUACCCCAGUAGUC